CCUACGGGAGGCAGCAGUAGGGAAUCUUCCACAAUGGGCGAAAGCCUGAUGGAGCAACGCCGCGUGGGUGAAGAAGGUCUUCGGAUCGUAAAACCCUGUUGUUAGAGAAGAAAGUGCGUGAGAGUAACUGUUCACGUUUCGACGGUAUCUAACCAGAAAGCCACGGCUAACUACGUGCCAGCAGCCGCGGUAAUACGUAGGUGGCAAGCGUUAUCCGGAUUUAUUGGGCGUAAAGGGAACGCAGGCGGUCUUUUAAGUCUGAUGUGAAAGCCUUCGGCUUAACCGGAGUAGUGCAUUGGAAACUGGGAGACUGGAGUGCAGAAGAGGAGAGUGGAACUCCAUGUGUAGUGGUGAAAUGCGUAGAUAUAUGGAAGAACACCAGUGGCGAAAGCGGCUCUCUGGUCUGUAACUGACGCUGAGGUUCGAAAGCGUGGGUAGCAAACAGGAUUAGAUACCCCAGUAGUC
This 465-nucleotide ribosomal RNA is filed under the name uncultured bacterium. RNAcentral's name for it is "partial 16S ribosomal RNA". It matches the Rfam family "Bacterial small subunit ribosomal RNA", at positions 338 to 795 of the family's 1533-position model. The record is from RNAcentral.